UACGGAGGGUGCAAGCGUUAAUCGGAAUUACUGGGCGUAAAGCGCACGCAGGUGGCUGAGUCAGUCGAUUGUGAAAGCCCUGGGCUUAACCUGGGAAUUGCAGUCGAUACUACUCAGCUAGAGUAUGGGAGAGGGCAGUGGAAUUCCCGGUGUAGCGGUGAAAUGCGUAGAUAUCGGGAGGAAUACCGAUGGCGAAGGCAGGUCUCUGGGCUGACACUGACGCUCAUGCACGAAAGCGUGGGGAGCAAACAGG
RNAcentral lists this ribosomal RNA (253 nucleotides) under uncultured bacterium. RNAcentral's name for it is "partial 16S ribosomal RNA". It matches the Rfam family "Bacterial small subunit ribosomal RNA", at positions 524 to 776 of the family's 1533-position model. The record is from RNAcentral.